RNAcentral lists this long non-coding RNA (1104 nucleotides) under Homo sapiens (human). RNAcentral's name for it is "novel transcript". The record is from RNAcentral. Lineage: Eukaryota; Metazoa; Chordata; Mammalia; Primates; Hominidae.
CAUUGUUAUCACAAAACAUGUAUUUAGAACCAACCACAUGCCAGGCCUCAUACUAGCUGACCAAUAUACACAGUGUUUGGCAAAAGCUAAGGUGAUGGUGUGCCAGUUCUGCUCUCUGCUGUAUCUGUGUCCUGUUUCCUUAUGUCGUUUGUAAUUUUUGAUCACAAGCACAUUUUCAACAAGGUUUGUUUACCAUGGGACCCCCAUGAGGCCUGAACUACAGAAGUGGUUUGGGGUUUGCCUCUGCCAGGUCCCUGGAGGUUUCAUUGGCCUUAGAUUAAUUUUUAUGUUAAACUUCUGUGGUAAAUUGUGUUUCUGGAGAAGACCACAACAAUAGACCCUCUCCCAAUAGCUCUUUUGUAAUGUGAUCUUGCCACUCCUCCAUCAAGAGGUGGAGUUUAUGAUCCCUUCCCCUGAUUCUGAGCUGCCUGUGACUGACUUUGAUUGACAGAAUGUGGCAGAAAUGACACUGCAUCACUUCCAAGACUGGCCUUAUGAGACUCCCAACUUUUGCUUUCACUACUUGGAGAGCUCCCUUUUGGAGGCCAGUCAUCGUGUUAGAAGCAUAACUAACUGGAGACCACUAUGUGGUGGAGAAGCUCAUGCUGUCUACAUAUAGAGGGAAAUGGCAUAUCAAUGAAUUAAACAUGAAAGUGAAGAUUUCUUGGCCCUCUCCAUCUUACUCAGCUCAUUGGAGCCACCAGCUGAAAGCAAGGGAGUGAAUGAGCCCAGCCCCGAGUGGAGCAGAAGGAGCCCAACCAGCGAAGCCCAGCCUGAAUUCCUGACUAACAGACUUAACAGGUGGAUUUUUGGGUUUGCUGAAGAAGAAAAAGAAGGAGAAGGAGAAGGAGAAGAAGAAGAGAAGUGUGAUUAACAAGAAAAAAACUUAUUUGGGGGCUAUGAACACCUUGAAUAUUUAACAGAAUAUCAGCUACUCAUCUGUAACCAUUCACUACAUAGCUAAACUUUUAGUAAUAAUGUAGGUAUUCUCUGGCCAAGAGAAAGAUAGGAUGUGUGUGUGUGUGUGUGUGUGUGUGUGUGUGUGUGUGUGUGUGUGUGUUUAACAGAAGAAAAUGGAAAGAAAAUAAAAUAAAGGAUAUUUUG